This 445-nucleotide ribosomal RNA is filed under the name Clostridiales bacterium oral taxon 085. RNAcentral's name for it is "bacterial SSU rRNA". It matches the Rfam family "Bacterial small subunit ribosomal RNA", at positions 28 to 480 of the family's 1533-position model. The record is from RNAcentral. Lineage: Bacteria; Bacillati; Bacillota; Clostridia; Eubacteriales.
GAUAAACGCUGGCGGCGCACAUAAGACAUGCAAGUCGAACGAACUUAAUUGAGAGCUUGCUCACAAAGCGGUUAGUGGCGGACUGGUGAGUAACACGUAAGCAACCUGCCUAUUAGAGGGGAAUAACAGCGAGAAAUCGUUGCUAAUACCGCAUAUGCUGUGAGUAUCGCAUGAUACAAGCAGGAAAGGAGCAAUCCGCUAAUAGAUGGGCUUGCGUCUGAUUAGUUAGUUGGUGGGGUAACGGCCUACCAAGACGAUGAUCAGUAGCCGGACUGAGAGGUUGAACGGCCACAUCGGGACUGAGAUACGGCCCAGACUCCUACGGGAGGCAGCAGUCGGGAAUAUUGCGCAAUGGAGGAAACUCUGACGCAGUGACGCCGCGUGCAGGAAGAAGGUUUUCGGAUUGUAAACUGCUUUUAACAGGAAAGAAAAAAUGACGGUACCU